This 954-nucleotide ribosomal RNA is filed under the name Salmonella enterica subsp. enterica serovar Stanley. RNAcentral describes it as "partial 23S ribosomal RNA". It matches the Rfam family "Bacterial large subunit ribosomal RNA", at positions 1203 to 2141 of the family's 2925-position model. The record is from RNAcentral. Lineage: Bacteria; Pseudomonadati; Pseudomonadota; Gammaproteobacteria; Enterobacterales; Enterobacteriaceae.
UGGCUUAGGGAUACGUUCGUUGGGUAGGGGAGCGUUCUGUAAGCCGUUGAAGGUGGCCUGUGAGGGUUGCUGGAGGUAUCAGAAGUGCGAAUGCUGACAUAAGUAACGAUAAAGCGGGUGAAAAGCCCGCUCGCCGGAAGACCAAGGGUUCCUGUCCAACGUUAAUCGGGGCAGGGUGAGUCGACCCCUAAGGCGAGGCCGAAAGGCGUAGUCGAUGGGAAACGGGUUAAUAUUCCCGUACUUGGUGUUACUGCGAAGGGGGGACGGAGAAGGCUAUGUUGGCCGGGCGACGGUUGUCCCGGUUUAAGCGUGUAGGUGUGUGUUCCAGGUAAAUCCGGUUCACUUUAACACUGAGGCGUGACGACGAGGCACUACGGUGCUGAAGCAACAAAUGCCCUGCUUCCAGGAAAAGCCUCUAAGCAUCAGGUAACAUCAAAUCGUACCCCAAACCGACACAGGUGGUCAGGUAGAGAAUACCAAGGCGCUUGAGAGAACUCGGGUGAAGGAACUAGGCAAAAUGGUGCCGUAACUUCGGGAGAAGGCACGCUGACACGUAGGUGAAGUGAUUUACUCAUGGAGCUGAAGUCAGUCGAAGAUACCAGCUGGCUGCAACUGUUUAUUAAAAACACAGCACUGUGCAAACACGAAAGUGGACGUAUACGGUGUGACGCCUGCCCGGUGCCGGAAGGUUAAUUGAUGGGGUCAGCGCAAGCGAAGCUCCUGAUCGAAGCCCCGGUAAACGGCGGCCGUAACUAUAACGGUCCUAAGGUAGCGAAAUUCCUUGUCGGGUAAGUUCCGACCUGCACGAAUGGCGUAAUGAUGGCCAGGCUGUCUCCACCCGAGACUCAGUGAAAUUGAACUCGCUGUGAAGAUGCAGUGUACCCGCGGCAAGACGGAAAGACCCCGUGAACCUUUACUAUAGCUUGACACUGAACAUUGAGCCUUGAUGUGUAG